This is a long non-coding RNA of Oncorhynchus tshawytscha (Chinook salmon), 2429 nucleotides long. The record is from Ensembl. NCBI's taxonomy places the organism in Eukaryota, Metazoa, Chordata, Actinopteri, Salmoniformes, Salmonidae.
GCUACUAGAGGAAGGAGUCAGCUACUAGAGGAAGGAGUCAGCUACUAGAGGAAGGAGUCAGCUACUAGAGGAAGGAGUCAGCUACUAGAGGAAGGAGCCAGCUACUAGAGGAAGGAGUCAGCUACUAGAGGAAGGAGUCAGCUACUAGAGGAAGGAGUCAGCUACUAGAGGAAGGAGCCAGGUCCUGUUCUGAAGGAGCCAGGUCCUGUUCGGAAGGAGUCAGCUACUAGAGGAAGGAGUCAGCUACUAGAGGAAGGAGCCAGGUCCUGUUUGGAAGGAGUCAGCUACUAGAGGAAGGAGUCAGCUACUAGAGGAAGGAGUCAGCUACUAGAGGAAGGAGCCAGGUCCUGUUCUGAAGGAGCCAGGUCCUGUUCGGAAGGAGUCAGCUACUAGAGGAAGGAGUCAGCUACUAGAGGAAGGAGCCAGGUCCUGUUCUGAAGGAGCCAGGUCCUGUUCGGAAGGAGCCAGCUACUAGAGGAACAUACAGGACAUCAUGGUGGAGAGAAAACCCCUGCUUCUGCUGCUGUUACUCUGUAUCUACACCUCCUCUGCCUACCCUGUAAGACAGACAGGACCACCUCUACCUAUCGGUGGCUGGACUGGGUUUUAUCCCAUAACCUUGCCUGACCACACAGGAGCACUGAGGACUGUCCUCUACCCUUUGACUGUAUACAACCACAACCUUCCAACACAGCCUGCCAUUGGCCAGAAUCCUGUAUCGGUGCCUGCCAUUGGCCAGAAUCCUGUAUCGGUGCCUGCCAUUGGCUGGAAUCCUCUUCUACGUUCUGUAUCGGAGCCUUUGAUUGGUCAAAAUCCUCUAUCAGUGCAUGUGAUUGGACAGGAGAUGACUGUGUUUCAGACUCCCUCCCCUCCUCAGUUUAAAGAUACGCCUGCGGCCCCUGUAGAGGAAACUCCCAUGGUGACAGGUCCACAGUCCCAGCUCCAGCCAUACUACCCACAGGCCUACCCCUACGACCCACAGCCCUACCCCUACGACCCACAGCCCUACCCCUACGACCCACAGCCCUACCCCUACGACCCAAUCACAACACAGCUACUGCCCAACCUGGAAACACUCACACCUGGGGAACAGGCACAGAUAAUGUCUAGGUUCCAUAUUAUUCCGUCAGUCUCUCAGGACAGUCAGACGGUGUUCCCCACCUGGCAGUUAAGCGGUGCAGUGGGAGGAGCCCAGUCUCAGUCGUCGUCUCUGAGUUCUGAAGAGGAAGCUUCACCUCCUGUGGUCUACACCAGGGUGAUGUUGCCUCCAGUGGUGCCAGCGUAUCAGAGCCAGGGGCUGAGUGUGGACCCUAACCCUGAACCUUCAGUCUUAACCCCUGACCCCUUACCUCUGACCCCUGACCCCGGCCACGCCCACCUGGGGAACCCCCCGACUGUAGCCCCGAUGGCCUCGGGGGGGCAGGGGACCCCCAAACCUGAGGUGGGGGGUGCGGUAGGGGUACAGAUGAAGAGUGCCGUGGAGAAGGGUACAGAGGGGGCUGUGGGGGUGAGAGAGGGGGGAGGGGUACAGAUAAAGAGUGGAGGUGCAGGUGACCCCUGUCCCUUGGAGAAGAGCCCCCCAGUAAGAGAGACCCAAACUUCUACCCAUUCCGAUCCUCGCCUCACACAUCGUCUCACCCCCAGGCAGCUCCCCAUCCGAGCUAGGAGCGAUGGGGGGAGAGCCUGAGGAGGACGGGGUUUUCUUUCCCUCUCCUACCUCUCCUACGUAUCCUCCUCUCUCCCCCUCCUACCUCUCUCCCUCUCCUCCUCUCUCCCCUCUCCCCUCUCUCACUCUCCUACCUCUCCUCCUCUCCUCCUCUCCUCCUCUCCUCCUCUCCUCCUCUCUCCCUCUCUUCCUCUCCUCCUCUCUCCCUCUCCUCCUCUCCUCCUCUCUCCCUCUCCUCCUCUCUCACUAUCCUACCUCUCCCCCUCUCUCCCUCUCCUCCUCUCCUCCUCUCUCACUCUCCUCCUCUCCUCCUCUCUCCCUCUCCUCCUCUCUCACUAUCCUACCUCUCCCCCUCUCUCCCUCUCCUCCUCUCCUCUCUCUCUCCUCUCCUUCCUCUCUCCCUCUCCUCCUCUCUCCCUCUCCUCCUCUCUCACUCUCCUACCUCUCCUCCUCUCCUCCUUUCUCCCUCUCCUCCUCUCCUCCUCUCUCCCUCUACUCCUCUCUCCCUCUCUCACUCUCCUCCUCUCUCCCUCUCUCACUCUCCUACCUCUUUCCCCUCAAAAGGUUCCAUUGUAUUGUCCUACAGUUUGUCAUAUGUAUAGUUGUCCCUUGUUCUUGGUCAAGUGAUCAUUUUCUGACAUGUUGAUAUGAAACCCCUGGAUCUUAAUAAACAACUUAACACUACUGGACUCUACUGGACUCAUGUCUUAAUAAACAACUUAACACUACUGGACUCUACUGGACUCAUGUCUUAAUAAACAAC